Molecule: ribosomal RNA, 261 nt
Filed under: uncultured Coriobacteriaceae bacterium
Lineage: Bacteria; Bacillati; Actinomycetota; Coriobacteriia; Coriobacteriales; Coriobacteriaceae
Description: partial 16S ribosomal RNA
Rfam family: Bacterial small subunit ribosomal RNA
Source: RNAcentral
AAAACAACUACGUAGGGGGCAAGCGUUAUCCGGAUUCAUUGGGCGUAAAGCGCGUGUAGGCGGCUUGUUAAGUCAGAUGUGAAAACCGGGGGCUCAACCCGCGGCCUGCAUCUGAAACUGGCAGGCUUGAGUCUGGUAGAGGAAAGUGGAAUUCCUAGUGUAGCGGUGAAAUGCGCAGAUAUUAGGAGGAACACCAGUGGCGAAGGCGGCUUUCUGGGCCACGACUGACGCUGAGACGCGAAAGCUAGGGGAGCAAACAGG